AUCGUAACAAGGUCUCCGUUGGUGAACCAGCGGAGGGAUCAUUACCGAGUUUACAACUCCCAAACCCCUGUGAACAUACCUAUACGUUGCCUCGGCGGAUCAGCCCGCGCCCCGUAAAAAGGGACGGCCCGCCCGAGGACCCCUAAACUCUGUUUUUAGUGGAACUUCUGAGUAAAACAAACAAAUAAAUCAAAACUUUCAACAACGGAUCUCUUGGUUCUGGCAUCGAUGAAGAACGCAGCAAAAUGCGAUAAGUAAUGUGAAUUGCAGAAUUCAGUGAAUCAUCGAAUCUUUGAACGCACAUUGCGCCCGCCAGUAUUCUGGCGGGCAUGCCUGUUCGAGCGUCAUUUCAACCCUCAAGCUCAGCUUGGUGUUGGGACUCGCGGUAACCCGCGUUCCCCAAAUCGAUUGGCGGUCACGUCGAGCUUCCAUAGCGUAGUAAUCAUACACCUCGUUACUGGUAAUCGUCGCGGCCACGCCGUAAAACCCCAACUUCUGAAUGUGACCUCGGAUCAGGUAG
RNAcentral lists this ribosomal RNA (520 nucleotides) under Fusarium equiseti. Its description in RNAcentral is "eukaryotic LSU rRNA". The stretch from base 194 to 347 matches the Rfam family "5.8S ribosomal RNA". Lineage: Eukaryota; Fungi; Ascomycota; Sordariomycetes; Hypocreales; Nectriaceae. The record is from RNAcentral.